The submitters of this non-coding RNA (175 nucleotides) gave its source as unclassified sequences. The record is from Rfam.
UCAAUCCGUCCUACGGCACUCCACUUUAUGCCUGGGAGGGGUCAAAGAAAGGAGAAAUCCGCUUUGUUCAGCGGUGCGGCAGUGUGGAGACCUGCCGUAAAGUCCGGGAGAUACAGCUGCUCCCGGGCGAGACGGGGACGCGAAGGCGGAACCGUUAUGGGCAAGCAAGAUGGCA